This 268-nucleotide long non-coding RNA is filed under the name Ananas comosus (pineapple). RNAcentral describes it as "long non-coding RNA (ACOM_LNC034563)". Lineage: Eukaryota; Viridiplantae; Streptophyta; Magnoliopsida; Poales; Bromeliaceae. The record is from RNAcentral.
ACUCACCUCGUGUGCCGCGCGCCUCCCGACCGCCGCUGACAGAGCCGCAGCCGGCCAGCCACAGCCGCAGCCAUUGCCACCUUCCCUCUCCAACUCUCUUUCUCUCUCUUUCUCUCGAGUUGAGAGCAGACCCGAGGUUACUUUGCCUCCUCGUUCUCUCUGCCGACAUCGCCUCGACCUCCGGCGACUCCCGCGUCGGUCGCCGCCGCCCCUGCCGGGCGCCGCCGCCACCUCGACAGAUUGCGGCUGCCCCAGGUCUACUCGGGCU